AGAGAGCGGCGUACGGGUGCGGAACACGUGUGCAACCUGCCUUUAUCUGGGGGAUAGCCUUUCGAAAGGGAGAUUAAUACCCCAUAAUAUUUAGAAUGGCAUCAUUUUAAAUUGAAAACUCCGGUGGAUAGAGAUGGGCACGCGCAAGAUUAGAUAGUUGGUGAGGUAACGGCUCACCAAGUCAACGAUCUUUAGGGGGCCUGAGAGGGUGAUCCCCCACACUGGUACUGAGACACGGACCAGACUCCUACGGGAGGCAGCAGUGAGGAAUAUUGGACAAUGGGUGAGAGCCUGAUCCAGCCAUCCCGCGUGAAGGACGACGGCCCUAUGGGUUGUAAACUUCUUUUGUAUAGGGAUAAACCUACCCUCGUGAGGGUAGCUGAAGGUACUAUACGAAUAAGCACCGGCUAACUCCGUGCCAGCAGCCGCGGUAAUACGGAGGGUGCAAGCGUUAUCCGGAUUUAUUGGGUUUAAAGGGUCCGUAGGCGGAUCUGUAAGUCAGUGGUGAAAUCUCACAGCUUAACUGUGAAACUGCCAUUGAUACUGCAGGUCUUGAGUGUUGUUGAAGUAGCUGGAAUAAGUAGUGUAGCGGUGAAAUGCAUAGAUAUUACUUAGAACACCAAUUGCGAAGGCAGGUUACUAAGCAACAACUGACGCUGAUGGACGAAAGCGUGGGGAGCGAACAGGAUUAGAUACCCUGGUAGUCCACGCCGUAAACGAUGCUAACUCGUUUUUGGUUUUUCGGAAUCAGAGACUAAGCGAAAGUGAUAAGUUAGCCACCUGGGGAGUACGUUCGCAAGAAUGAAACUCAAAGGAAUUGACGGGGGCCCGCACAAGCGGUGGAUUAUGUGGUUUAAUUCGAUGAUACGCGAGGAACCUUACCAAGGCUUAAAUGGGAAAUGACAGGUUUAGAAAUAGACUUUUCUUCGGACAUUUUUCAAGGUGCUGCAUGGUUGUCGUCAGCUCGUGCCGUGAGGUGUUAGGUUAAGUCCUGCAACGAGCGCAACCCCUGUCACUAGUUGCCAUCAUUAAGUUGGGGACUCUAGUGAGACUGCCUACGCAAGUAGAGAGGAAGGUGGGGAUGACGUCAAAUCAUCACGGCCCUUACGCCUUGGGCCACACACGUAAUACAAUGGCCAGUACAGAGGGCAGCUACACGGUGACGUGAUGCAAAUCUCGAAAGCUGGUCUCAGUUCGGAUUGGAGUCUGCAACUCGACU
Molecule: ribosomal RNA, 1219 nt
Filed under: Chryseobacterium sp. StRB114
Lineage: Bacteria; Pseudomonadati; Bacteroidota; Flavobacteriia; Flavobacteriales; Weeksellaceae
Description: bacterial SSU rRNA
Rfam family: Bacterial small subunit ribosomal RNA
Source: RNAcentral